Molecule: RNA transcript, 4573 nt
Organism: Phoenix dactylifera (date palm)
Lineage: Eukaryota; Viridiplantae; Streptophyta; Magnoliopsida; Arecales; Arecaceae
Source: RefSeq, a predicted model, not a curated record
UCCCCAAAACACCCCCCGGCCGGCCCCCUCUGCUUCGCUCGUCGACAGCCCUGAAACCCCCCAAGAAUCGAAGUAGAUCGAAGAUUCUCUCGUCGAUUCCAUCGCCAAUUCGGUCCUCGUAGGGUUUUAAUCCAUCGAUCUCACUCUAUUGCGGUUUACCAAUCCUUCUUGCACUUCUUGGAGCUCGAUCUUGGAUCUUCUCUCCUUGGGUGCUCUUGCCCCAUCGGUCUAACUUGCUAUCAGUUGUUAGAUACCAGAUGAUUGCCACUAAUGGGUCCAAGUGUGGUAAUGUUCUGAUAUAAGAUGCCUUGGAUGAAUUGGGUUAGCUGUCAUUAUGCAAUUACUGUUGAGAUAAUGCGGUGAUAUGGCAGUUGUGCAAUCUAUUUUAGUGCACUUAAUUGCUUGAUUAGUUCAUUCUGAGGAAAAAAAAGGAUAGCUAUAGUUGUUUCAUGGCUGGCCACUCAUUAGCCCAUCAGGAUCAUAAUCUAGUUGUUCCAGACCAUUCUCUUGUCAUUGGCCAAGAGUUCCCAGAUGUGGAAACCUGCAGAAGGACACUUAAAGAUAUUGCUAUUGCUUUACAUUUUGAUCUUCGGAUAGUGAAAUCUGAUAGGAGCCGAUUCAUAGCCAAGUGCUCCAAGGAAGGAUGCCCCUGGCGAGUUCAUGUAGCAAAGUGUCCUGGUGUCCCUACUUUCUCAAUCAGGACCUUGCAUGGGGAGCAUACAUGUGAAGGAGUUCGCGGUCUUCAUCACCAGCAAGCCACUGUGGGUUGGGUUGCCAGAUCCGUGGAGGCCCGACUAAGAGAUAAUCCACAAUACAAACCAAAGGAGAUAUUGCAAGAUAUCCGUGAACAGCAUGGGGUUGCUGUGUCUUAUAUGCAAGCUUGGCGUGGGAAAGAGCGAAGCAUGGCUGCAGUCCAUGGCACUCUUGAGGAUGGAUAUCGCCUUCUUCCAGCAUACUGUGAACAAAUAAAGAGAACAAAUCCUGGGAGCAUUGCAUUAGUUUAUGCAACCGGUCCAGAAAACUGCUUCCAUCGUGUGUUUAUUUCCUACCGUGCAUCAAUAUAUGGUUUUCUGCAUGCUUGCCGGCCACUAUUGGAACUUGAUAGGGUACAACUUAAAGGAAAAUACCUUGGAGGUUUGCUUUGUGCCUCAGCUGUUGAUGCUGAUGACACACUAUAUCCGCUGGCAUUUGCUAUUGUGGACACAGAGAGCGACGAAAAUUGGAUGUGGUUUCUAUCAGAAUUGCGAAAGCUCCUUGGAGUUAAUACAGACAAGAUGCCUGUAUUAACAAUUUUGUCCGAGAGACAGAAUGGCAUCGUAGAAGCAGUUGAAACCCAUUUCCCCACUGCUUUUCAUGGAUUCUGCCUGCGUUAUGUAAGCGAGAGCUUCCGUGAUGAGUUCAAAAAUUCAAAAUUAGUCAACCUCUUUUGGAAUGCUGUGUAUGCUCUCACUGCAGCUGAAUUUGAGGCAAAGGUAACUGAGAUGAUGGAAGUUCAAGAUGUUAUGCCUUGGUUCCGUCUUUUUCCACCUAACCUCUGGGCUGUUGCAUACUUUGAGGGGGUACGUUAUGGUCACUUCACUCUGGGAAUCACGGAGAUAUUGUAUACUUGGGCCCUUGAUGGCCAUGAACUUCCUAUCGUGCAAAUGAUGGAACACAUACGCCAUCAAUUAACUGCUUGGUUUAAUGAUCGUCGCAAUAUGGGAAUGUCAUGUUCCUCAGUUCUUGUUCCCUCUGCUGAGAAGCUUAUUUCAGAAGCUAUUGCUGAUUCACGUUGUUAUCAAGUCCUCCGUGCAAAUAAAGUGGAGUUUGAGAUUGUAUCAUCUGAGAGAACAAAUAUUGUUGAUAUACAGAGCUGGUGUUGCUCAUGUCGUCGGUGGCAAAUCUAUGGUAUCCCAUGUGCACACGCGGCUGCUGCACUUCUAUCUUGUGGUGAAGAUGUCCGGCUCUAUGCUCAAGAGUGUUUCAGCAUUAGGAAAUACAGAGAAGCCUAUUCACAAAUGAUAUAUCCCAUUCCAGAUAGAAAUCUUUGGAAGGAAUCAGGUGAGGGAACAGAAGGUGGAGGUAACAAAGCAGAUAUUAUUGUACGCCCUCCUAAGACUCGUCGGCCACCUGGCCGCCCCAAAAAGAAGGUUCUUCGGAUAGAAAGUUUAAAGCGCCCAAAGCGAGUUGUUCAAUGCGGCCGAUGUCAUCUAUUAGGGCAUUCUCAAAAGAAAUGGACUGGCUUGUUUGUGGUCAUUGUAUGAGAGAAGAGAGAGUGACUGAUGGAGAUAAGGGAGAAACCUAUCUUAACUGGAAUUUGAUUCCCUGAGCAGUAUAUAUCUAUCUGGACUGACAAAGCACAUAAGAUGAUUUAUGGCUAUGGGCUCCAAAACAGUUAUUUUGAUUACCUUCUGGCGUAUCCAAGGCAAAAUGAGUCCACUUUCCUUCAAGGAACAUGAUCUUACUUGAAACCAAACAGACUUGAAAGGUGAGAGGGAAAGAAGCUGAACCAUGGGUAUGACAUCUGGAGAGCUUUAUACCUGAGUAAAGCAAUUCAGGAUGCACUUUCCCAUGUUUAUGUGUUCCUGCUUGCAUAGGUGCGGGUGUUGGGAUUAGCGGUUCUGGUGUCCCACAGCUAUUAAGGAUGUGUGAUAUUUCACAUAUAGCAUAUCAAUGAAAGUUUAUUUGGAUUCUGAUAAAGUAGCAUAUUUUUAUUUUCACUAUGCAAUGGUUCUUUCCUAUUAUCUUUUAAUAAUGAUUCCCUCUCUAUUACUGCAUACUACAAGCUCUCCUUUAUCAUUCGCCAGAUUUUCUUAGUCAAUGAAUGAUGGUGAACAUGCUUGUUAUUGGUUAGUCUUGCAUCUCCUCAGAAUUCUGCAACCAGAUGUUACUGUCAUGUUUCAUGAACCAAAUGAACUGAGCUUCCACUUUCUUGAAGUCACCAUCGAUGAUUAUCAGGAACCGUUGAGCUCUCAAUUUAUUUUAUUUAAAUAAUGCUUUGAUUUAGAAAGAGGUACUCUAUAUUUUGGGUUUUUUCAAUUGCAAAAUUGUAGGCUGCCUUUCUGUUGUUCUGUAAGUUAAAUUUCAGGAUGAGCUAGCUGUAGUUAAAUCUCUUUGUCUCUGUUUCUUUCAGUUAUUAAUCGUGUCAUCUCAAACAUCCAAACUGGUGACAGGCUUUGGCGCAAAGGUAAGAUUGGUCCAUUAUAACCUGAGUGUGAUAGGCUCAAAGCCACACCGGAUCUCAUAGUGGCUGGAGUCUCGAUGCCCCUGUUUAUUUCAGACAUCCAAACUCUAUUUUACGUGAUAGGUAUUGUAAGCUUUUUGUGAGUAAUUUUUAGAAUAUGUAUCACAAAUUUACCUUAAGUAUCCUAUUUUAUAAAAUCAAAAAUGUUUUGACACAUCUGGAUCCGAUGUAGUCUAAUAUUGUGGAAGGACUUACUUAAUUUAUUAUAUACUUAUGUUUGCUAAUAUUUUAAUGGUAAAUGUUUUUUUUAUUAAAAAAAAAGAUGGUCUCUCAUCAGCUUCAUUAAAAAAACUAAAUUGUUACAUCUAGUCCCAGAUAGGGAUGAAAACACAAAAUAAAAAUACAAUAAGAGAUGAAGAAGGGAGUGAAGAGGGGAUAGAUAUAAGAGUGACUAGAGCUGUCAAAUUCCUUAUCUGAAAGGUUAUUAGAACCUGGAGUUUCACCUCUUCUCUUACUUGGCUACAUAGAUCCAGUUCGAAAUAAAUGCCCAUCACCAUACCCUUCCAUGUUGCACUUAUCCUGUCUAAAAACCAAGCUUUUCCCGUGAAAUUAAUGGUAAAUAGUCAAUUCUUGGAAUUUAUAAUGUUGAUAUUACUAUAUGACUAUAAGUUGUGGUCUAUAAUUUAUGAUUAAAUGCUAGAACUUUUAGAUAUUGAUGCUCUUUUGUAUAGUAUGGCUCAUGUGGUAACCUGAUAUGCUUAGUGUUUUUUUUUUUUUUUAACAUAUACUAGCGAACAAAACAAGUAGAAUUUUUGAAUAAGUAGAUAAAAAUUAUGUGUAAACUUUUCUAAAUUUUAAAAAUUUAUAUUAAGAAUCAUAUUAUACACAAAUGGAAAUUUUAAAAAAAAAAGGAACAAGAUUGAACAAGAUUGCAUUUUAAGUUUUUGAUUUCAAAAUGACAAUAUUAUUCCUUGAUGCAGAACUUAUGCAUUUCCAAAGUUAAGAUAUUUUAGAAGAAUGUAAAAAGUGGACAAAAGCACUAAGAGAUCUUGGUGGGUGUACGUGGAAGGCUUUACAUAAUUAGUAGCUUGUUUCAUCUUUCAUAUGUAAUUAGGAAUUCAGGAGAAAUUGUUUAUGACUUGAAAAAUGCUUUUGGGAACUCAUUUGUGCAUAUGAAAAGUUUUGCAGGCCCGCAUAUUGGUGGACUGGGCACUUGGUAUUCAAACAUCUAUCGCAUUGCACCAAUUUCCUUGCGUUAUGGUAAUACCUUCGUGCCAUGGGGUAUAAGAAGCUUUUCAUAUGGUUAUGGUAAUACCUUGUUUUAUGGUAACAUCUAUUGACAUUAGAGAAUUCUAGGAUUGUCACGCUUUUAUGUAAAAGAAAAACAAUCGGAAAAGUUAUUAUACGCUU